UACGUAGGUGGCAAGCGUUGUCCGGAAUUAUUGGGCGUAAAGCGCGCGCAGGCGGUCUUUUAAGUCUGAUGUGAAAGCCCACGGCUCAACCGUGGAGGGUCAUUGGAAACUGGGGGACUUGAGUGCAGGAGAGAAGAGUGGAAUUCCACGUGUAGCGGUGAAAUGCGUAGAGAUGUGGAGGAACACCGGUGGCGAAGGCGGCAACCUGGACCGACACUGACGCUGAGGAGCGAAAGCCAGGGGAGCAAACGGG
RNAcentral lists this ribosomal RNA (253 nucleotides) under uncultured bacterium. RNAcentral describes it as "partial 16S ribosomal RNA". It matches the Rfam family "Bacterial small subunit ribosomal RNA", at positions 524 to 776 of the family's 1533-position model. The record is from RNAcentral.